RNAcentral lists this ribosomal RNA (411 nucleotides) under bacterium enrichment culture clone ALO1_GLFRUDD03GT6W3. RNAcentral describes it as "bacterial SSU rRNA". It matches the Rfam family "Bacterial small subunit ribosomal RNA", at positions 9 to 420 of the family's 1533-position model. The record is from RNAcentral.
GAGUUUGAUCAUGGCUCAGAUUGAACGCUGGCGGCAUGCCUUACACAUGCAAGUCGAACGGCAGCACGGGAGCUUGCUCCUGGUGGCGAGUGGCGAACCGGGUGAGUAAUGCAUCGGAACGUAUCCUGGAGUGGGGGAUAACGUAGCGAAAGUUACGCUAAUACCGCAUAUUCUGUGAGCAGGAAAGCGGGGGACCUUCGGGCCUCGCGCUCUUGGAGCGGCCGAUGUCGGAUUAGCUAGUUGGUGAGGUAAAGGCUCACCAAGGCGACGAUCCGUAGCAGGUCUGAGAGGAUGAUCUGCCACACUGGAACUGAGACACGGUCCAGACUCCUACGGGAGGCAGCAGUGGGAAUUUUGGACAAUGGGGGCAACCCUGAUCCAGCCAUGCCGCGUGAGUGAAGAAGGCCUCGG